GCCUGGGUGGCUCAGUCGGUUGAGUGUCUGACUUCAGCUCAGGUCAGGAUCUCAAAGUUCAUGGGUUCGACCCCCGUGUUGGGCU
This 85-nucleotide transfer RNA is filed under the name Felis catus (domestic cat). It matches the Rfam family "tRNA". From Rfam's summary of the family: Transfer RNA (tRNA) molecules are approximately 80 nucleotides in length. Their secondary structure includes four short double-helical elements and three loops (D, anti-codon, and T loops). Lineage: Eukaryota; Metazoa; Chordata; Mammalia; Carnivora; Felidae. The record is from Rfam by way of RNAcentral.